UCAGGACGAACGCUGGCGGCGUGCCUAACACAUGCAAGUCGAGCGAGGAGAUCCUCGGGAUGAUCCUAGCGGCGGACGGGUGAGUAACACGUGGGCAACCUGCCUCAUAGAGAGGAAUAGCCUUCCGAAAGGGAGAUUAAUACCUCAUAACAUUGCAGUUUCGCAUGGAACAGCAAUUAAAGGAGCAAUCCGCUAUGAGAUGGGCCCGCGGCGCAUUAGCUAGUUGGUGAGGUAACGGCUCACCAAGGCGACGAUGCGUAGCCGACCUGAGAGGGUGAUCGGCCACAUUGGGACUGAGACACGGCCCAGACUCCUACGGGAGGCAGCAGUGGGGAAUAUUGCACAAUGGGGGAAACCCUGAUGCAGCAACGCCGCGUGAGUGAUGACGGCCUUCGGGUUGUAAAGCUCUGUCUUCAGGGACGAUAAUGACGGUACCUGAGGAGGAAGCCACGGCUAACUACGUGCCAGCCGCCGC
RNAcentral lists this ribosomal RNA (475 nucleotides) under uncultured bacterium. RNAcentral's name for it is "bacterial SSU rRNA". It matches the Rfam family "Bacterial small subunit ribosomal RNA", at positions 24 to 518 of the family's 1533-position model. The record is from RNAcentral.